UACGGAGGAUCCGAGCGUUAUCCGGAUUUAUUGGGUUUAAAGGGUGCGCAGGCGGGAGAUUAAGUCGGCGGUGAAAUUUUGCAGCUCAACUGUAAAAGUGCCUUCGAAACUGGUUUCCUUGAGUGUAGAUGAAGUAGGCGGAAUUUGUGGUGUAGCGGUGAAAUGCAUAGAUAUCACGAGGAACUCCGAUUGCGCAGGCAGCUUACUAAACUACUACUGACGCUCAGGCACGAAGGCGUGGGGAUCAAACAGGAUUAGAUACCCCCGUAAU
This 271-nucleotide ribosomal RNA is filed under the name uncultured prokaryote. RNAcentral describes it as "partial 16S ribosomal RNA". It matches the Rfam family "Bacterial small subunit ribosomal RNA", at positions 524 to 794 of the family's 1533-position model. The record is from RNAcentral.